GUGUCGAGUUGCCGUGUUGCUGCGUUGCCUGUUGACGUUGCUGGUUGACGUGUCCAAAGACUCGCAGCUCAGUGACUCGGUGAGACAGAAGCUGAUGAGUCAAACGUCUCUGUGUCUCAGACUGUUGGACGCCUGUUGCCAUGGAGACCUGCAGUGUCUCCUCCAGCAGGUGAACAGCAGCUGCUGCAGCCCAGAGGUGCUCAGUUGCUUAGCAACAGUAACUGUGACGACAGAGAGGUGACACAGCGGCAGAACACCCGGAUCACCUGGAGUCAGGCUGUGAGACGCAGUGGGUGCAGAGCUUCGUGUCUCCUGACAGACAGGACUCGGGGCGGACAGCUCAGGAUCAGCAGUGAGUCCAGCUGGUCCAGCCGGCGCUUCAGUCCCUGUAAGCUGUCCUCCGUCUCCAGUCGUCUCACCUCCAGAUUCUCCUGCUGGUUCCACAAACUGCAGCGCAGACGAGCCUCAACAACCAAACAACAAACAUCAGUCAGGUUUUCACUCUCGUCACCGCUCACACGCUCAGGCUUCGUCUUCAUGUUCACGUUACAUGUCCACAUGUUACAUGUUCACAUGUUACAUGUUCACAUGUUACAUGUUCACAUCACUGCACGCAGACUACGGUCGUAUGAACCAUGAGGCACAAAGACGACAAGAGGGUUUAAAGCUUAAAAUUGGAGUCAAUAAGUCAAUUAAAGUGUAUUUUACUAUUCAAAAACAAAAAGUUCACACCAGCUGGUAUUAAAAAAUCAGACUGGAUCAUUUAGAUUUCAUCAGCUCUAAAGUUUGGACAUUUUACUGUGGAAUUAAAACAGUUUGAAUUGAACUUUAAAUCUGGAUGUAUUUAAAUUGUUGAUUGGAAAAGUUUGUUUCUUCUGUAAUUUAAUGCUAGAAUAAAGUUUACCUUCAGUCGG
Non-coding RNA from Plectropomus leopardus (leopard coralgrouper), 914 nucleotides. Lineage: Eukaryota; Metazoa; Chordata; Actinopteri; Perciformes; Serranidae. The record is from RefSeq and is a predicted model, not a curated record.